GUGCUCCCCGCUAAUGGCUAGUCAGCCGAUGGGACUCAACGUCAGGGUUUUUUAGGCAGCGGCGUCAACGCAUUCUGGGACGGUCGUAAGCUGAACUGCGGGGGAGGAUGCGCUCCAUACGACACUGCUCUUUUCGGUGAUCUGGUGCUCGCAGACCAAUAUGGCUCGUACUGGAUCCAGAUUCCUGGUUCCGGCCCCGGCGCCAGAGAAUCACACGCGAUGGCCUUCGAUUCCGUCCGUGGCGUCACGGUCGUGUUCGGGGGCGAGGUCAACGGCGGCCUUGCGCUAAAUGAUACAUGGAUCUCUGACGGCAUAAGCUGGACGAAUGGAGCAGUAGGGCCGGAUGCGCGCUGGGGUCAUGCGAUGGACUUCGAUUCAGCUCGGGGUUCAACCGUUCUGUUCGGGGGCUCCAACAAUGGAUAUUAUUACGGUGACACGUGGCUGUUCGAUGGUGCUGUAUGGAAUAGUGGUCCCUCUACGGGUCCCCCUGCCAGGGGCCACCAUGCUAUGGCGUUCGAUUCCGCACGAAAUGUCACGGUUUUAUUCGGCGGUUAUACGUGCCAGGGCUGCCCUUGCUCCACCUUUUGGAGGGACACCUGGCUAUUUGACGGCACAACCUGGACACAGAGUCUGGCGUUAGGUCCUACCGCGCGAGCCUUUCACGCGAUGGCGUUCGAUUCCGCGCGGAAUGUCACCGUGUUAUUUGGUGGCAGUGCCACGACCAGUACCUAUGGUUGUAACAACGUCUUAGGAGACACUUGGGAGUUCGACGGCACCACUUGGACUCAGGUCCCCAUAUCCGGUCCGAGUCCGAGUCCGCGCGUGCUUUCAUUCGUAUGGCCUUUCGAUUCAGCGCGAGGCGUGACGGUCCUGUUCCGCGGCAACAACGGCCCCAGCGACCUGAAGCACCCCUGGG
Molecule: ribosomal RNA, 916 nt
Filed under: uncultured archaeon
Lineage: Archaea
Description: partial 16S ribosomal RNA
Source: RNAcentral